This is a long non-coding RNA of Aedes albopictus (Asian tiger mosquito), 2437 nucleotides long. RefSeq lists it as uncharacterized. Lineage: Eukaryota; Metazoa; Arthropoda; Insecta; Diptera; Culicidae. The record is from RefSeq and is a predicted model, not a curated record. The transcript is spliced from 2 exons.
GUAUUGCAUAUAUCAUAGAAAUUGAUGUUCAUCGUGCUAGGGCAUAGCAAUCCACCUAUACCGUCAUUGCCGUUUCAAUUACCAUCUUAUGCGCUAGAUAAAGCAUUUCAUUCAGCGAAAAAAUCUUGGUGUAUCCGGUAUUGUCGUAUUUGAUAGGGGGAUUAGGGGCAUAAUGGACACCCUAAGCAAAUGAGUAUGUUAGGCCUGUAUAACAGACAAAAACUUAACAUAUUAUCAGUUGGCUUGCAACUUUAACUUGUUUCCUACGUAUUUCAAUCAUUUACAGCAGGUAGAAUGUCAUUAUUGUCAAGAAAUAAUGAAUUGUAAACCGUGUGUUUUUCAGGCCUGGCAGGAAAGGGCCCAUAUAGCCGAGGCGGUAAACGCACGGGUAUUCAGCAUGACCAUGCUGAGGGUGACGGGUUCGAUUCCCGGUCGGUCCAGGAUCUUUUCGUAAAGGAAAUUUCCUUGACUUCCUUGGGCAUAGAGUAUUUUCGUGCCUGCCACACGAUAUACACAUGCAAAAUGGUCAUUGGCAGAGGAAGCUCUCAGUUAAAAACUGUGGAAGUGCUCAUAGAACACUAAGCUGAGAAGCAGGCUUUGUCCGAGUGCGGACGUUACGCCAAGAAGAGGAGAGGAGGAAAGGUACGGGGCGAAAUGGACACCCAUCGGGGUAUAAUGGACACCCCUGCAUAUUUUAUGCUGUAUCUUUGAUAAUAUCGACCAGUUAAGUAAUUUGCCUACGGAGAUCAAUACCACAGAUAUGAUACUCCAUCUUAGACGAGUUCACAUAACAUCAAAGUUAAUUAAAUAAAUUUUAGGCUAAAAUAAUCGGAUUGUUUUUUUCCAAACUCUCUAAAACGCCUAACAGUAUGCAACUCGCGUACAUUCAUUCAUAAUUGCCAGUGUUCAUUUCGCCCCGAAUCGACUACAACAUUGAAAUUGCUAUUUUGAGAAAAUUCUGAUCAAAAAUGUAAUACUUUAUCCAUUGCUAAAUUGGCGUAUACAUGUAGAUAAGCUAACAAUUCACUUGUUUUUAUGGUGAACACACUCAAACACUCGUAAUACCUUAUUUGCUGCUGCUUCGAAAUUAUAAGAAAUCCACCAUAUGAAACCAGAAAUCCACCAUUGAAACAUAUUUCAAUUUCAAUGAUAUUUUGUUUAUUUUGAAGGAAUAUAAAUGGUACUUUUGAAAAAUAGAACAAUGACGUGUUCCUUUACAAUUAUGCAUUAAAAGUUUUACAGAAAAGUCAACGGUUUCAGCAAAAACAGGGGUGUCCAUUUCGCCACGGGUGUCCAUUAUGCCCCUAAUCCCCCUAUUUGCAUUUUAAUUGGAAGUAACAAUGGUUUUAAUUUAAUUUUUGGUGAAUUAAUGAUGAAUUAAUUAUGGUGAUGUUUUUAUUAUGUGAUAACAUACUCUAUUAAAAGAAAUGAUGUUCUACGUAAUACCCGCGAUCAAACUGAUUUCGAAAUAAAAAAAAGAACAAAAAAUAUCUAAAAUAAAAAGGUCGAAGCGCGUGUUUUUAUGCAAAAAGCAGCACUAUAAUAAAAACUUCUUCCUUUGUACACAACACAAGUACAUUUUUCGAUACUUUGAAGCGUUGAUAACAAAAGUAUUCUUCUAGAACCUCGGAAUCCAACACUUCAGAAGUAAUUUAAUAUAAAAUUCAAAUGUCAAUUUCUUGAUUUUGCUUUGGCUAACCAAGCCAUGUGGGAAAUAACACUGUUGAAAUUGCUUUGACAUCCAUGUGCACAACAGAACAUGUGCUCGAUGAACAAAUUGAGAUUUGAAUUAUGAAAAGAAAUCCACGUACUCCGGUGAGACUCGAACUCACGACUCCCAAUUCGCUAGACGGGCGCUUCUAUUCCUUCAAGCUACGGAGUCACUCGACUAUCUCCGUCGCCAGCAGGCCUAGAACUGCAACCUAAAAAUCUCGGUUGCUUGAUGGCGCGCGUGUUGAAAGGUUAAUAAACCUAUCUGAUAACCUUUUUAUGAGAAAGGAUGAGUGAUAUCUCUCUUAAAAAUUUAUAAGUUAACCCACGAGCAGUCGCGCCAUCGGCAACCCUCGGCGACCACCACGCUCACGCAGUGUAUCGCAACCGUGUUUUUUUCAUGAUGCGUGUACUCAGUACACGGCGCCACUGCUUCCGGGUUAAGAAGGCUGAUAGCGUAUAAAUUUACAAGCAAAAUUCGUCGCACUUAUUAGUUAUGUGCGAUCCUAUAUGGUUCACGGUACAUAAAAGAUUUAUUCAAUAUUUGGUUGUGAUCUCUUCUCGCUACAGUCAUUAAAGACAUUGAAGUCAUCAAUACUAACUUUAAACCUUCUAAUAAGAUCACAUGACUUUAUCUCAAACACUGUCACAAUAUCACUCAUUGCAAUCGACAAACCCAACUAAAGUAAAUAUAAAAUAAUAUGCAACAUACAAUUAGUUCUUCAUC